Molecule: ribosomal RNA, 488 nt
Filed under: uncultured bacterium
Lineage: Bacteria
Description: bacterial SSU rRNA
Rfam family: Bacterial small subunit ribosomal RNA
Source: RNAcentral
GACGAACGCUGGCGGCGUGCUUAACACAUGCAAGUCGAACGAUGAUGGACCAGCUUGCUGGUUUGGAUUAGUGGCGAACGGGUGAGUAACACGUGAGUAACCUGCCCUUCACUUUGGGAUAAGCCUUGGAAACGGGGUCUAAUACCGAGUAUUCACAUUUUGCCGCAUGGUGGGGUGUGGAAAGCUUUUGUGGUGAGGGAUGGACUCGCGGCCUAUCAGCUUGAUGGUGGGGUAGUGGCCUACCAUGGCUUUGACGGGUAGCCGGCCUGAGAGGGUGACCGGCCACACUGGGACUGAGACACGGCCCAGACUCCUACGGGAGGCAGCAGUGGGGAAUAUUGCACAAUGGGCGGAAGCCUGAUGCAGCGACGCCGCGUGGGGGAUGAAGGCUUUCGGGUCGUAAACUCCUUUCAGCAGGGACGAAGCUUUUGUGACGGUACCUGCAGAAGAAGCACCGGCUAACUACGUGCCAGCCGCCGCAGUAACAC